Molecule: ribosomal RNA, 201 nt
Filed under: uncultured bacterium
Lineage: Bacteria
Description: partial 16S ribosomal RNA
Rfam family: Bacterial small subunit ribosomal RNA
Source: RNAcentral
UACGUAGGGUGCAAGCGUUGUCCGGAAUUAUUGGGCGUAAAGAGCUCGUAGGCGGUCUGUCGCGUCUGCUGUGAAAACUCGGGGCUUAACCCCGGGCCUGCAGUGGGUACGGGCAGACUAGAGUGCGGUAGGGGUGACUGGAAUUCCUGGUGUAGCGGUGGAAUGCGCAGAUAUCAGGAGGAACACCGAUGGCGAAGGCAG